RNAcentral lists this ribosomal RNA (720 nucleotides) under Stenotrophomonas sp. 110602_136_C_H10. Its description in RNAcentral is "bacterial SSU rRNA". It matches the Rfam family "Bacterial small subunit ribosomal RNA", at positions 22 to 729 of the family's 1533-position model. The record is from RNAcentral. Lineage: Bacteria; Pseudomonadati; Pseudomonadota; Gammaproteobacteria; Lysobacterales; Lysobacteraceae.
GCUCAGAGUGAACGCUGGCGGUAGGCCUAACACAUGCAAGUCGAACGGCAGCACAGUAAGAGCUUGCUCUUAUGGGUGGCGAGUGGCGGACGGGUGAGGAAUACAUCGGAAUCUACCUUUUCGUGGGGGAUAACGUAGGGAAACUUACGCUAAUACCGCAUACGACCUUCGGGUGAAAGCAGGGGACCUUCGGGCCUUGCGCGGAUAGAUGAGCCGAUGUCGGAUUAGCUAGUUGGCGGGGUAAAGGCCCACCAAGGCGACGAUCCGUAGCUGGUCUGAGAGGAUGAUCAGCCACACUGGAACUGAGACACGGUCCAGACUCCUACGGGAGGCAGCAGUGGGGAAUAUUGGACAAUGGGCGCAAGCCUGAUCCAGCCAUACCGCGUGGGUGAAGAAGGCCUUCGGGUUGUAAAGCCCUUUUGUUGGGAAAGAAAAGCAAUCGGCUAAUACCCGGUUGUUCUGACGGUACCCAAAGAAUAAGCACCGGCUAACUUCGUGCCAGCAGCCGCGGUAAUACGAAGGGUGCAAGCGUUACUCGGAAUUACUGGGCGUAAAGCGUGCGUAGGUGGUUGUUUAAGUCUGUUGUGAAAGCCCUGGGCUCAACCUGGGAAUUGCAGUGGAUACUGGGCGACUAGAGUGUGGUAGAGGGUAGUGGAAUUCCCGGUGUAGCAGUGAAAUGCGUAGAGAUCGGGAGGAACAUCCAUGGCGAAGGCAGCUACC